Molecule: unclassified non-coding RNA, 403 nt
Filed under: uncultured Inocybe
Lineage: Eukaryota; Fungi; Basidiomycota; Agaricomycetes; Agaricales; Cortinariaceae
Description: sequence contains ITS2
Rfam family: 5.8S ribosomal RNA (bases 1-154)
Source: RNAcentral
AACUUUCAGCAACGGAUCACUAGGCUCUCGCAUCGAUGAAGAACGCAGCGAAAUGCGAUACGUAAUGUGAAUUGCAGAAUUAAGUGAAUCAUCGAAUCUUUGAACGCAUCUUGCGCUCCUUGGUAUUCUGAGGAGCAUGCCUGUUUGAGUGUCUUUAAAUUCUCGACCGCUUCGAUUUGUUUGAAGUGGAUCGGAUGUGGCUGUUGCCCUCCAAGUAUUUGGUGAAGGCUCGGCUUAAUGAUAUAAUGCUGGUCUAAUGAAACUAGCUAAUUCGAUGUCAUACACAUGAUCCAUCGAAGAUGUUUCAGUGGCCGGACCCCAGAUUUGGGGAACCCCUUGAAAUCUAGACCUCAAAUCAGGUAGGACUACCCGCUGAACUUAAGCAUAUCAAUAAGCGGAGGCU